Long non-coding RNA from Anthonomus grandis grandis, 1272 nucleotides. RefSeq lists it as uncharacterized. The record is from RefSeq and is a predicted model, not a curated record. The transcript is spliced from 2 exons. NCBI's taxonomy places the organism in Eukaryota, Metazoa, Arthropoda, Insecta, Coleoptera, Curculionidae.
UGCAUUUGGACUUAAUGCUGGCCACUUCAAUACAGGAAUGUCUACAUCGUUUAAAUAUAAUUCUUCGGUGGGAAAUUUGGCAAUCUGCAGUAGAAUAAAAUUAUAUCUAAUAAAAUUAAUAUAUGUAAGAAGAAAAUCUUGCAGGAAUUCAAUAAUGAAUCUGACAGCAGUUAGAGGGCCUCUUGGAAUAAUGUACAACUCUGUUCGUGCCUCUUAAAAUAUUGCAGAUCCCACCAUAAAUCAACCUAUUUUAUUGGGAAUUAUUAGUACUUUCUCUAAUUUUAUCUAGUAGGUAUGUCUCCGGUCUCUCUGGGUUACGUCACCCGAUUUUUACGUUAGUCAAUUUCAAUCUAAAAAAAUUUGUAUUUUUUAAUGUACUGCAGUUGUAGUGAUUAUAUUAAGGGAAAGUGUUCUAAGAACUACGCAAUAAAACUAGAUUGUUCAGAAAAGGCAAAGGUUUUAAGUUGUUUCUGCGGGUGAAACGGUGUUUUACAACGGUGAAGUGACAUAAAUUGGCGACCGUGACAGGACAGUUUGGCUCAAGUUCGUAGCGUGCUACUAUUUAGACAAACUUUAUCGUUUCACCUGGACUUUAGCGGUUUUGAACUGGUUUGUCUGCUGAUUCGUCGUUGUGUAAUACCAAGUGCUGAACUGUUGACGUGUGCCGACACGGAAUUUGACGCUUACCUUUGAACCCAAUCCGACUUGCUUCGCCUGGACUAAUGCACUUCUUAAACACCUAGAAAUCACUCUACUCACAGUAUACGAUGCUCUACACCAAGCAGCCGACUACGCAGUUCUUCUUGCCAUGAAUAUCUGCUUUGGAAUUAUUAUUAUAUUCCUCAUCGCCAAGCAUAUUUUGCAAACUAUUAAUAUUUAUGAGCCCAAAUAUUAUGCUGCGCCGGCCAUAUUUUAACCGCACACGACUAAUUUUGGGUGUACAUCAUUUUCCUGUUUGUGGGGGACGCGAUAAUUAACUGGCACACAAAUACGAAAAAAAUGCCAUUGAAAAGAGUUAUUCACAUUUUACUGUGUAUAUAUAGCUUCCGAAUUAAAAGGGUUAUUUUUUUUAUGUUAAAGCGAUCUUAUACGGUUUUUGUAUGUUUUAUGUUUUGUAAAUCGAGUCAUAGUUAUAUAUGUUUGCCUAUAGAAUAGUAAAAAUAUUAGCUUGCUGUAUUUAUUAUUGUAAAUAUAACUAGGUAGUGUAAAAUCUAUUUUAUUAUAUUUUUUUUAAAUUUAUUAAUAUACAUGUGUUUGCCUUUUAAAACCAAA